RNAcentral lists this long non-coding RNA (490 nucleotides) under Theropithecus gelada (gelada). RNAcentral's name for it is "lncRNA (ENSTGEG00000021704.1)". Lineage: Eukaryota; Metazoa; Chordata; Mammalia; Primates; Cercopithecidae. The record is from RNAcentral.
AGAAGACAUGCUUCCGUUUCCAGGAUGGUUGUGUUUUCCAGAGAGGCGUAGGUAAACCAUUGGCACAGCCCUGCCUCCCACAGAUAAUUCCGGGUGCAGUGUUUCAUAUCUAGACUUGGACUUCUGUCCUACAUACUUCUUUGUGUGCAGUUCAUUGUGGAACCAGCACAGAUUUCCAUAUGAAAGUUAUUUUUUUUAACCUCCAAAAGUGACAGAAUGGAGUGUAUCAUGGAAAAAUCUGACAUCAAAACCUCAAAAUGUGAUAUUGAUUGGGUGAGAUAGAAUUCCAUGGAAUUUCAUUGCCAAACCAGUGAAGUGCUAAUUUUGACAUUUGUACCAGCUGAUGUAGCUGUGAAGAAGCACAUCAAUACCACUUCUAAGGACAGCAUAGACCAAGAACUGGGUUUCAUAUGGAUGAAUUUAUUCUUCCUUUGAGGCAAGACAAGAAGGAAAGAAAGUAUUGGGACUAAUGCCAUCCUCAAGGGCCAGU